AGGGUUUGAUCCUGGCCUCAAAAUGAACGCUGGCGGCGUGCCUUACGCAUGCAAGUCGAGCGAGAAAGCUCCUUCGGGAGUGAGUACAGCGGCGGACGGGUGAGUAACACGUGAGAAUUUACCCUUUAGUGAAGAAUACCCCUGAGAAAUCAGGGUUAAUACUGCAUACGUCCCUACGGGGAGAAAGGUGGCCUCUUUGCUGCCGCUAAAGGAUAAGCUUGCGGGCUAUUAGCUUGUUGGUGAGGUAAAGGCUCACCAAGGCAAUGAUGGCUAGCCGGCCUGAGAGGGUGUACGGCCACACUGGAACUUAGACACGGUCCAGACUCCUACGGGAGGCAGCAGCGGGGAAUAUUGCGCAAUGGGCGAAAGCCUGACGCAGCGACGCCGCGUGGAGGAUGAAGGUCUUAGGAUCGUAAACUUCUGUUAAGUGGGAAGAAAGAUUUAUCCCUAAUACGGAUAAAAGAUGACGGUACCAUUAGAGAAAGCACCGGCUAACUUCGUGCCAGCAGCCGCGGUAAUACGAGGGGUGCAAGCGUUAUUCGGAAUCAUUGGGCGUAAAGGGUGCGUAGACGGCUUAUCAAGUCAACUGUUAAAUUCUCCGGCCUAACUGGAGGUCAGCGGUAGAAACUGAUAGGCUUGAGGUUGGGAGAGAGAAGUGGAAUUCUCGGAGUAGCGGUAAAAUGCGUAGAUCUCGAGAGGAACACCGAUGGCGAAGGCAGCUUCUUGGUCCAUACCUGACGUUGAGGCACGAAAGCGUGGGGAGCAAACAGGAUUAGAUACCCUGAUAGUCCACGCCGUAAACGAUGAUCACUAGACGUUAAUUCUGCUUGCAGAAUCAGUGUCGUAGCUAACGCGAUAAGUGAUCCGCCUGGGGAGUACGGUCGCAAGGCUAAACUCAAAAGGAAUUGACGGGGGCCCGCACAAGCGGUGGAACAUGUGGUUUAAUUCGACACUA
RNAcentral lists this ribosomal RNA (955 nucleotides) under uncultured bacterium. RNAcentral's name for it is "bacterial SSU rRNA". It matches the Rfam family "Bacterial small subunit ribosomal RNA", at positions 8 to 959 of the family's 1533-position model. The record is from RNAcentral.